Small nucleolar RNA from Nannospalax galili (Upper Galilee mountains blind mole rat), 132 nucleotides. NCBI's taxonomy places the organism in Eukaryota, Metazoa, Chordata, Mammalia, Rodentia, Spalacidae. The record is from Ensembl.
CCUCUCUCACUCUGCAUAGUUACACUUGGUUUCACCUGUGUAACUUUCGUACCGGGAGAGAGAGGAAAGAGCUCUUCAGGACCUUGGAUUGGCCUCAUAGUGGCCUCUCUUGCCUAGAAGAACUCCACAGUU